CAAUAGCGUAUAUUAACGUUGUUGCAGUUAAAAAGCUCGUAGUUGGAUUCCUGGAGGGAGCGUCGGCCCGUAUUUACGAGUGCGUGACGUCUCUGUCCAUCCUUGCGGGAAGGCACGGCAUUGAUUUGUUGUGUCGGAUCGCAUCAUUUACUGUGAAAAAAUUAGAGUGUUCAAAGCAGGCUUUCGCUUGAAUACAUUAGCAUGGAAUAAUAAGAUAGGACUUUGGUGCUAUUUUGUUGGUUGAGCCUAAAGUAAUGAUUAAUAGGGAUAGUUGGGGGCACCUGUAUUGCGUUGUCAGAGGUGAAAUUCUUGGAUUUACGCAAGACAAACAGCUGCGAAAGCGUCUGCCAAGGAUGUUUUCAUUAA
RNAcentral lists this ribosomal RNA (366 nucleotides) under uncultured eukaryote. Its description in RNAcentral is "partial 18S ribosomal RNA". It matches the Rfam family "Eukaryotic small subunit ribosomal RNA", at positions 592 to 976 of the family's 1831-position model. The record is from RNAcentral.